Molecule: long non-coding RNA, 750 nt
Organism: Oncorhynchus mykiss (rainbow trout)
Lineage: Eukaryota; Metazoa; Chordata; Actinopteri; Salmoniformes; Salmonidae
Source: RefSeq, a predicted model, not a curated record
UACCUGUCCCAGACCUGCUGUUUUCAACUCUCUAGAGACAAUCACUGAAACUCCACCUGAUGUGGUGGAAGUUGAAGAAGCAGAUCAGAACGCCUUCGAGGACCACCUCCAGGCCCAGACUGAGAAGGGUGUGGAGGUUUUUGCCAGGACCUAGGGGUUCUGCCCAACACCCAGACAUGGGUCCACCUGAUGUUCUUCAUCACCAAGCACCCUCCAACUUUUCAUUACAUCCUCUACAGCUACUGUUAUUGUCAUGUUGUCAUUAUCUGCUAAGAACGUUUUCUUGCUCCAUCAUACUGGGCACAUAAUAUGUGAGACACAGACUAACUAAAAACACUAGCACUGCAAACACUCAGAACAAAGAGAGCAGCAGUGCCUGGACUUUGCACUCUCCCUUUUUAAGUCCCCCUUCUGAGACUGACUGGCUGCCUGUUGAGAACCGGGCAGUGACGGGCAGAACCUCCCACCCACACAGCACCCACCUCCUCUCUAUUCCACCCACCGUAAUGCAGUAUUUCAGGCUAUGAUUGUCAUGUGAGUGUACAGGAAAUCUUUGAAAGUAAAUUGACACACCCGUACCCUAAAAAAUAACAAAGUUUAUAUAUUUAAAUCUUAAAUAUUGCCAGGUUGGUUUACACAGAUGUUUCACAAGGUGUUCAUUGUUGUAAAGGUAUCCCUUGAUGGUAUUUGUUAGUGCAACAUUACUCAUUGUUGUAUCCUAGGACCUCCAAUAGAUACAUUCAACCACAA